AACGAACGCUGGCGGCAUGCCUAACACAUGCAAGUCGAACGAGACCUUCGGGUCUAGUGGCGCACGGGUGCGUAACGCGUGGGAACCUGCCCUUAGGUUCGGAAUAACUCCCCGAAAGGGGUGCUAAUACCGGAUAAUGUCUUCGGACCAAAGAUUUAUCGCCUUUGGAUGGGCCCGCGUUGGAUUAGCUAGUUGGUAGGGUAAAAGCCUACCAAGGCGACGAUCCAUAGCUGGUCUGAGAGGAUGAUCAGCCACACUGGGCCUAAGACACGGCCCAGACUCCUACGGAAGGCAGCAGUGGGGAAUAUUGGACAAUGGGCGAAAGCCUGAUCCAGCAAUGCCGCGUGAGUGAUGAAGGCCUUAGGGUUGUAAAGCUCUUUUACCCGGGAUGAUAAUGACAGUACCGGGAGAAUAAGCUCCGGCUAACUCCGUG
This 433-nucleotide ribosomal RNA is filed under the name uncultured bacterium. Its description in RNAcentral is "partial 16S ribosomal RNA". It matches the Rfam family "Bacterial small subunit ribosomal RNA", at positions 29 to 507 of the family's 1533-position model. The record is from RNAcentral.